Molecule: non-coding RNA, 647 nt
Filed under: Thelephora terrestris
Lineage: Eukaryota; Fungi; Basidiomycota; Agaricomycetes; Thelephorales; Thelephoraceae
Also listed under: 1 other name
Description: sequence contains ITS1, 5.8S rRNA gene, ITS2
Rfam family: 5.8S ribosomal RNA (bases 226-380)
Source: RNAcentral
CGUAGGUGACCUGCGGAAGGAUCAUUACUGAAUUGUCAAACGGGUUGUUGCUGGCCCUCAUAGGGGGCAUGUGCACGCUCUGUUUACACAUCCACUCACACCUGUGCACCCUCUGUAGUUCUAUGGUCUGGGGGACCCUGUCUUCCUUCUGUGGUUCUACGUCUCUACACACACACUGUAAUAAAGUUUUAUGGAAUGUACAUCGCGUCUAACGCAAUACAAUACAACUUUCAGCAACGGAUCUCUUGGCUCUCGCAUCGAUGAAGAACGCAGCGAAAUGCGAUAAGUAAUGUGAAUUGCAGAAUUCAGUGAAUCAUCGAAUCUUUGAACGCACCUUGCGCCCCUUGGCUAUUCCGAGGGGCAUGCCUGUUUGAGUAUCAUGAACACCUCAACUCUCAUGGUUUGCCAUGAUGAGUUGGACUCUGGGGGUUUUGCUGGCCUGUGGUCGGCUCCUCUCAAAUUAAUCAGCCUCCCAGUGUUUGGUGGCAUCACGGGUGUGAUAAAUAUCUACGCUCGCUGUUGUCUGCCAGGUAACCUUUGGUCACAAAGGUUUGCUGGAGCUCACAGAUGUCUCUCCUCAGCGAGGACAGCUUUUUUAACGUUCGAUCUCAAAUCAGGUAGGACUACCCGCUGAACUUAAGCAUAUA